Molecule: ribosomal RNA, 472 nt
Filed under: uncultured organism
Description: partial 16S ribosomal RNA
Rfam family: Bacterial small subunit ribosomal RNA
Source: RNAcentral
ACACUCCUACGGGAGGCAGCAGUGGGGAAUUUUGGACAAUGGGGGCAACCCUGAUCCAGCAAUGCCGCGUGAGUGAAGAAGGCCUUCGGGUUGUAAAGCUCUUUUGUCAGGGAAGAAACGGUGGUGGCGAAUAACUACUACUAAUGACGGUACCUGAAGAAUAAGCACCGGCUAACUACGUGCCAGCAGCCGCGGUAAUACGUAGGGUGCAAGCGUUAAUCGGAAUUACUGGGCGUAAAGCGUGCGCAGGCGGUUGUGUAAGUCAGAUGUGAAAUCCCCGGGCUCAACCUGGGAAUUGCAUUUGAGACUGCACGGCUAGAGUGUGUCAGAGGGGGGUAGAAUUCCACGUGUAGCAGUGAAAUGCGUAGAUAUGUGGAGGAAUACCGAUGGCGAAGGCAGCCCCCUGGGAUAACACUGACGCUCAUGCACGAAAGCGUGGGGAGCAAACAGGAUUGGAUACCCCAGUAGUCCC